This is a long non-coding RNA of Peromyscus eremicus (cactus mouse), 1257 nucleotides long. RefSeq lists it as uncharacterized. NCBI's taxonomy places the organism in Eukaryota, Metazoa, Chordata, Mammalia, Rodentia, Cricetidae. The record is from RefSeq and is a predicted model, not a curated record. The transcript is spliced from 3 exons.
UUCCAUGCUUGUCCUUGCUUUCUGGGAAUCCUUUCUCUAUCCUGAAUAAAUCCAAACUUUCCAUUUUGAUAUUAAUAAUGUUCAAGUUUUCCACAGUGAAAGAUAAGUCUUUUCAAAAGCAAUCUCUGAAGUCUCCAGAAGGAUGAUGGGGCCCUACAACAACUCUACCCAGUCCAGAAUGAUGCCAUGGUAUCCACAAACAUUACUCUAUGAUCAACUUUGGACUGAAAACUCUGCAGGACAGCUCCAAGAUGAGAUGGUCCAUCAUACUAUACUUCUAGCCAGAAUCUCAGACAACUUUACCCAUUAUUCUGAGACUAGCUGCAGAAUAUACAGCUAGUCCUAUUGAGACCUAACUAUCUAUGCUUUCUUACAGAACCCCACAGAGAUGCCAUCGCCCCCUAAACAGCAGGAAGCAACUCUAAAAGAACAAUCCCCCUCUCCCAAAGGCUUCAUUUUUCUCCAGGUUAUGGCACCGAUCUGAUCCCAAGAAAAUGCUGGGCUUCUGAGACACUCCAUUUGGAAGUUUGUCUUCUUGGCACAAACUGGCCUGCUGGGCAAAGAACUGCCCUUGCCUCGACUGCUGACGGUAUGAACACUGUCCUUUUCGGAUGAGCAGGACACAAGGAAAAGUGACUACUGAACCUUGCCAAGACAGGAGGAUAGGAACCACAGCUCCAGCCAUGGCCUCCUGAGGAGGAGACACAGAAGAGGCAAGCCAGCCAUCCUGAUAUAAAGACUAUGGACUCAAGCCAAGGACAAGCCUUCAAUCUAUUCAGGGGGUUUUAUGAGACUAAGACUCCUCUGCAUGAUGAGUUGGCAAUCCAGAGGAGACCUGGCCAUUCUGUCACUCUACAAGCCUCAGGGUCUGCAGCCAAACCAUCUGGAGAUUCUUUAAGACUGAGUUAUCCUAGGUGCCUGCUAAGGAUCAGUUACAAGUCAGGAAACUAAGGAUCAACCUGCCUGAAGGGUGAAGGACAGUGACAGGAAGCUGCUGUAUUGAUGAGAAGGGCCGACAGACACCUGAGGAGUCCAGGGGCAGGACUGGGUACAGUGUGGGCCAGUAUCUCCUGGUGGCUAGGCACAGACCCUAUCACCUGAGGACACCUGUGGAGUCUGAGAAAAGCUAGUAAGGGUGCUUGCUGCUAAGCUCCACGGUGACUUCAGAUGAAGACGUCAUGAAGUACUUAGAGACAGUUUAGACCAUUCCUUGGGAGCUGGUGAGAUGGCAAAGAGAAUAAACACACUUGCCAACAA